UACGUAGGGGGGCAAGCGUUGUCCGGAAUCAUUGGGCGUAAAGAGCGUGUAGGCGGCCCGGUAAGUCCGCUGUGAAAGUCCAGGGCUCAACCCUGGAAUGCCGGUGGAAACUGUCGGGCUAGAGUCCGGAAGAGGCGAGUGGAAUUCCUGGUGUAGCGGUGAAAUGCGCAGAUAUCAGGAGGAACACCAAUGGCGAAGGCAGCUCGCUGGGACGGUACUGACGCUGAGACGCGAAAGCGUGGGGAGCGAACGGG
Molecule: ribosomal RNA, 254 nt
Filed under: uncultured bacterium
Lineage: Bacteria
Description: partial 16S ribosomal RNA
Rfam family: Bacterial small subunit ribosomal RNA
Source: RNAcentral